This 233-nucleotide long non-coding RNA is filed under the name Solanum tuberosum (potato). RNAcentral describes it as "long non-coding RNA (STUB_LNC010445)". Lineage: Eukaryota; Viridiplantae; Streptophyta; Magnoliopsida; Solanales; Solanaceae. The record is from RNAcentral.
UCGCUAUUAACAGGGAAAACCUUGUCCAAUUCUAUCCAGAUCAGUUAUAUUUUAGCUAUAUGCUAGUUUGUGGUUCUAGCACAAGGUGUUCACUUACCCGCUCUUCUUAUUUCAAUUUGUUACUGCAAUUCCUUUUGCUUUCUUGAAGCUUACCAUUGUGAGAAUAAAUUGUUUCUCUUUUUUCCCCUUACAGAGAAGACAAUAAGAAAAUUGCUAGGCACUCAAACUUUUGC